Non-coding RNA from Mycena latifolia, 92 nucleotides. Lineage: Eukaryota; Fungi; Basidiomycota; Agaricomycetes; Agaricales; Mycenaceae. The record is from the annotation of a GenBank genome assembly.
CACUCCUGAGCUCAGUGGUAGAGCGUCGCAUUCCAGGAAUCGUGGUUUCAUAUGCUUCGCGAAGGCCGUCCGUUCAAUCCGGGCAGGGGUCA